Molecule: long non-coding RNA, 12850 nt
Filed under: Coffea arabica (coffee)
Lineage: Eukaryota; Viridiplantae; Streptophyta; Magnoliopsida; Gentianales; Rubiaceae
Description: long non-coding RNA (CARA_LNC005063)
Source: RNAcentral
GUACAGGGGCUGAUCUGCAAAUUCGUUCUCUGGUUUCUUAAUGGACCAAGCCAUUGGGCCAACUUUUGUCUAUUUUUUGGGCCAAAGAUCCCUUCAGCCUGCCGCAAAGCCCAGAGGCUACAUAUGGGCUGGCUUCUACUUAUCAAUCAAACAAACUCAACCAAAAGAGUGGGCUUUACCUCCCUAACCCAAACCAGAAACCCAAACAAAACAAAUUAAAUCCACUUUUACAAAUCCAAACAAAUAUUAUUGCCCACAACCUAAAUCCAAACUAUACCCAACAAGAUUAGCAAAUCAACUAAAAUUAUUAAGCCACAAUUAUGACCUAAAAUCAAGAAUUAAUCUAUCCAAAAAGGCACAUAAAAUAUGCAAACAAAUGAUUAAACUUAAAAGGAUAAAAUUAGUUCAAUUUUCCUAAAUUUUGGGCCAUAUCAGAAUAAGGGGGGCACUUGGGGGUUCAAUCACAACAAAAUAGGGACUUAAUUGGAAGAAUCAUGAAGACUUUGGGGUCGAAAUUAAAGAAAAGCAACGUCCAGGGGUCAAUUUAUGUUUAAAUCAUGACUUAAUUGAAUAAGAUCUGAAAGUUAUGUGGGCUUUAAUGUGAUUUCACCAAAGGUCUGGGGUCGAUUGCAAAAAUUCAGAAAUUUAUGCUCCAAACUUCGCGGGAGCUUUCUUCUUCCAGGCAAAUGAGAUGGAAACGUUUUUGCAACUUCGGAUACUUCAGAAAAUCUGACAAAUUUACACGGCAACAACAUCACAUCAUUAUGGAAUGCAAAAACAGCAAAAUUGAACAAAAUCAAUUUCAAAAAUUCAUGGCUUCUCUUUCUCUUCCCGACCAGCAAACUCAUGUAUUCUGGCCAGUUUUGAACUGUCCAGAGUCCCUCUUGAAUAGAAAAAGCGUGAAAUCUUCCCUUUUGGUUCCAGAUUUCUUUUCAGACAUUUUAUCGAACACUAAACGAGCAUGAAAACUUUCGGUAAAUUUUUGCUCUAUUGACUCAAGAACCCGCCCCCAAAAUUCCAUCAGCAACCCAAAAAGUACAGUCCAAUCGACCCAUAGCGCAUUUACAAUCAAAAACAAAAGAAAAUGGGCGGUCAAUCAAGAAAGCCGUAAAAACCAAUUCACAGAAACAUGCUUGGGGUUGGGGAUUUCCAGAAUUUGCAUUUGAAAGUAAGACUUACAGUGCGUCCUUGGCGAGGAUUUUUCAGGCGAUAAUAGCAAAUUGCAGCGGAGGCGGUGGAUAAUUUCGGUUGUGGCAGCGGCUGUGACCUUUCCUUGCUAUGGCUAUCGUUCGAAUCCUCCGAAGGAAACCCCUCCAAUUUCCAGAUUUCUCUCUGCUCUUGCUGAAACUCUCCUCUGUUUUUAGCCGAAAACUUUCCCCAAAAUUUCAGAUUCUUGCCCCUGUUCUGUUCUAUCCCCUGAAGCUCUCCACGAAUUUUCUUGUUCCCUCUUCCCUUUUUUCCUUCGCCGAUGUCUCCCUUGUUUCCUCCCUUCGGCCUUGCUUAGUCUUUCUCCCUUGUUCUUUUUCUUUUCCCUUUUCAGAUUUUUUUUGGUUCCUUUUCAUCUGCCGUUUCCUCUCACUCUCUCUGUCCGCCCCCUCUUUCUUUGUUUUUCUCGGCUUUAUUUUUUUGCUGAAACCUCUCUCGGCCCCCUCUGUUUUUGUUUCUCUUUUGCUUUCGUUUUUGCAGCCGUCAAUCCUUACCUCUCUCUCUAUCCCCAGACCUAGCCGUCACUCGACUCUCAAAAUCCUCUUCUCGGCUGCCUUUUCUUUUUGUUCUUUUUUCUGCCCAGAAAAACCCACCGCCUCCCAUUUCUGGUUUCUUUCUCGUUUCUUUUGCCGUCUCCCCCUUACCUCUCUCUCUCUCCUUCUCAGCUAAAACCUAGCCAACCCCUUCUAGAUUCAUCCUCCCCUCCAGGUGUCCUAGACACCUGGCCUCUUAUGCUAAAUUUUUACCCCUCCGAAGGACCUCCUGAAAUCUGGUUUUCAAGCUGCGGCAAAAACGCAGCUUUUAUGCCGCGUAUUGGCUACUUUUUUUUUUUAAAUUAGUAAUUUAAUUACAAAUAAUAAAAUUAAAACAAAAACAACAAUUUAAGUAAUAUCAAACAAAAAUAAACAAUCAAAAAUAAUAAACAACAAAGUUGUGAUUUUUCAAUUUCCAUUUUCAUCAUUUUUCACUUUUUUUUCCUUUGUCCUUCCAAGAAAGCAUUGGAUUUAAGUUACAAACAACUAAAUCGUAUUUUUUUGAAUGCUUUUCCCUUUCCUUUUUUUCCUUUUUUUUUCAAGAAAUUCUAUGCUAAAAACUUAAAAACAAAAAUAAAACUAGAAACUAAAACUAAAAAAACGAAUAAAACUAACACUACAAAUAAAAAACUAAAAAUAAAAAGUAAAUGAAAUUACACCAAAAAUUUGGUGUCUACAAUCAUUGUUCCUUGUUAGUUCUAAAUCCCAUUCCCCUUUGUAAGCUUACAUUGAUAUUCACGGCUGUUUUGUUACUCGAGUCUCUCUUUGCUGUCUUUUGUCCUCUAUAGCAGUCCAGUGGGGUUUGGUUUUCCUGUCAAACCCUUUGUUUAUAUAUAUCUGGUGGUUAAUGUUGUUGCGGAAAGCUUUCUACUCGAAAUUGAUUAUUGGAGCUGAUGUACCGUAGCCUAGCUGAGAACUCAAAUUGAUAAGAAUAAAGUGAAUCAUUCUGAGCAAGCUUCCUUCCAUUUCUAUUUUUCUUUUCAUUUCUGUGUUUGUCAUUACAUUUUGAUGUUAAACUUGGAGAUUGAAUCCUUGUUGCUGUCAAAUUUUAUUGCUGUCAUGGGUGUUGGUCUUGGUUUGAGUUGUUCCAUGUCAAUGAGUUUUGAUUGGAAUGUAAAACUGCAGCAAGCAGGGCCGGUCUACCAUUGCAGAAAUGUUUCCCCCCAUCCUCUCGUUGUUUCUUUUCUUUUCUUUGCAUAUUUUGCUCCAAAAUUUCUGUUUAAACGCUAGUUGACUGAGUUGAUGUUGGCAAGUUAUGCUAGAGGAUUUGGAUGGCUUUGCUUGUUAGAGUCGCAGGUUAUGAGGAAAUGCAGCUAGUUUAGAAUUGCAGAAAAAUGUUAGUUAUAGAAACAAAAAUUCCUUCGCAGCUUGCAUGGUCUGCAUGGAAAAUCUCUGAAAAAUUUCCCUUUUGGCCCCCCAAGUCUCUCCUUGUUCCACUAGGACUCAAUCAAUUAAAUAAUUUCAUCAAUUUGGUCCUUGGUAAUUUUAAUUUGUGCAACUUCAUUGCUUGUUUGCUUCAAUUAACUACCAUGUUUUGUUUCAAUUGCGCUUAAGUCAUGACUUUAGAGGCUUUACGAUCAAGUGAGCUUUGUUUUGCACAUUUCUUUAAUUUUUCUUAAUAAAUUGGUACCUUGACCAUUUCUUUUAUUUUGGAGGAUAAAUAAGUGACUUCACCCCAUUAGAGCUCCAACUCAAGGGAGGUAUAACUUCUUUUAUCUUUUUUUUUUGUCUCUCCUAUGUGAUCCAACGUGCUACGUGAAAAUUGCAUGUCUACUUGCUUCCUUUGUUUUUCUUUAAUUCCUUUCAUUUACUUUUGCUUUUUAUUUAAAUUAUUCUUUAUGGGGUAUGUGUACACCUCUUGGCUUGUAAUAGAUAGGGUUUGGAAAGCACUUGAUGAAGACCUAUUGAAGACGUGUGCCUAGCUAGCAAAUGUAAUAGGUCCAUUAGCUUGAUUGCUUGCUUUUGUGGCUAUGUGUUAAUUUGCUUUAUUAGGCUUUUGCGUCUAGUCGAGCAUGCUAAGUGUUAUGUGCUACGUGUUUACGAGUGUUUGGCAUGUCUACUCGCUUUCCAUAGCCAUGAAUGAAUGUGAUGGAUGAAUGUAUGUUUCCACUAGUCCAACGCUAGUAGGAAUUCAUAGAAUGGGCUAGUCCAACGCUAGACCCAAUAGGCCGUCCCCCUUUUGUUAGUGCAUAUUUGCAUGUUCACUACAUUUCAUGCAUUUUUUCUUAGUUUUAUCAUUUGGCAUGCUCCUCGAACCCCUUUUCCCUUCAUUUUAGGAUUUUUGCACCUCAUGCUGGUUAUAGGGUACAUUUACUUGAAGAGUCCCCUUUCGAUAAGGGAAACGAGCGAGUGUGGCUACAAAAUAGCCUUAGCACGCUAGUUCUUCCUUCUAAUCAAAGGAAAAAUUAAAGUCACAAAGUUAGGACUCCCCGUUCCCGUCUUGAUGCAUUCCUAUAGGAUUCAUGCAUUUUACUCAUUCGCUAUCACAUACACUUCUACUUUAUAUUCUAACCCUCUUUCCACAUUCUCACUUCACACUACUUUAAAUUUGCACGUUUUCACUCAACUACUUACACUUUAUAAUAUCAAUCGCACACAUGCACUUUGUGUUAUCUCACAUACAUUUUCACAUUAUUACUUUACUCGCCUUAUCUUGUACAUCCAUUUGCACACUUCCACUUACACACUCUUGUUUUUAUCACUUUUUCAGUUCACACAAACUCACAUUUUCACAUGGCAUGCAUUCAUUUCACUCAUUUUUACGUCAUUUAGGAUUAUGUGUGACCUCUCCAAAGGAUCAUUAUUGGGCUUCACAAUUAAUGUGAUUGGCACCACUCAACCUUUGAAGAGAAAUUUCCCCCAUGUCCCCCUAGGUCUAGGUUUUUGCAUUCAUAUAGUCAUAUCCAACACGCGAUACAUACCUUGGGUAGAAAAAUUAGGAAACGUGGGGCUAAGUCACGCAACUAGCUCUUGCUAGGGUAGGGGAGUGCCUUAGGUUCCACCUUUGCCUUCUCCCUUACCAAAUGUGACCCCCGAUUCCUUUCUUUGGUUACGUAGAUCUAAAAGUUUUAAAAAGGGUUUUAUUUACUUUUUCGUUCAAAAAACAAAAAUCAUUUUUGGGUGACUUGGUACACCCUAACUCUAUACCAAGUGGCGACUCCGUUUUUCAUCCAAAGCCCUUUUUGAACUUUAUUUGACCAAACCGUCACAUUUCACAAUCGCACGGUCUUUUCUUUUCACUUUCACACACGUUCACUACUUCCACACACCACCAUCAAAAGUGGGGCGUGACAAAAACUUCAUUUGCCUUAAGAAAAAUAUGAAACUAAAUAUUCUUGAAAGACUCCCUUUUCAGCGUUUUUAGAUUGACCAAACUUAUUUUAGCUCAAUUAGAGUCCUAGUCAGCAGGUAAGAGCAUUUGGAGUGAUUUACACUGUAUCUCAUCUUUGUAAAUUACUUGAGCAAUAUGUUAAUAUUUGUUACCAUAGGGAAGCAUAUUUAAGGGCGUACAACUUCACAAUUGGUCAUAUUCCUUCGAAACAGUUUUGAGUGGAUAGCAAAAUGCAAUAUUUGAACCUAUCAUUGGUGCAAAAACAACAUAGUAGGCCAAAGAAGCAGAGGAAGAAAGGUUCAAAAGAGCCUACAAAUUAGCAGAAAGCAAGUAGGAAGGAUCUUGCAGUUUAUUGCUAAAGGUGUUUAAAAUCUGGACAUAACAUAAGAACUUGCAAAUUUGCAAUUCAUUCUAAGUCCAAACUUUACAAAGUAAUGUAACAUUUCAAAACCAAAUCAAUUCUUUACUUUGUUUUGUUGCUACUUAUACACUAAUUCAUUUUGGUUUGAACUAUAAGCACCUAAAGCUGGUCCAACAGCUUCAACUACAACAUCCAUAACUUCUGUAGCUCAAGCUAGUGUCUCAAGUACUAUUGCUACUACUCUUUCAUAGGUACUAGUUCUCAAUUGCCUAUUUUUGGGUGCUACGAUCUACUUACAUACUAACCUUGAGGACUUAUCUGCAGGAACCAAGUCAGCCUAUAAGAGAUGUCAACCAAGAAAGCUAGCAAAGUAGAUCCUCAAAGAGGAAGCAACUAGCUGCAAGGAUGUCAAGUCUAUGACAUUGUGGAUCCAAGAGACCAAGAAAAUGAACUGCAGUUAUCUCCCUUUUGUUGGUUGAAUAUACUGCUUGUGUUAACUAGAAAACUCAGAUUUUUUGCUAUGUUUUUGUUACCUGAUAUCAUUAUGGUAUGAAUGUGGCAAUAUGCUACUUUGUUGUGGCACUUGUGGUAGUAUUACUGGUGAACCUUUUUGGGAUUGGAUUGUAAUAUUUAUUGAAAUUAGAAAACUAAAAUUUUUGGCCAUGUUAUGGUAGGCUGAUACCAUUGUGGUAUGGUUGUGACAAUAUGCCGCGUUUUUUAAGUUGUGGAUGGUAGUAUUGCUGGUCAUAUCUUUGCUAAACAUGACUUAAUUUGACAAGUUCAUUGCAGUGAAAUCUCAGGUCUUUCAAUUAUUUUGUCAUGUAUUUUUUCGAUGUCUUGCAACAAAAGUAGUUUCAUUCAUUCUUCUUAAUUGAAACCUAAAUGUGUACUUCAUUACAUGCAAUUGAAGUCAGGAUGUGGCAAUAUAUUGGACAUGACAAAAUCUACUAUUGUACCCAACUCCCUUAUUUUCUACAUAUUUUUUACACUACAAUUUGUCCCAACUCCAGAUUCUACUACACUACUUUUACACUACAAUUUGCUAUUUGCAGAACUACAACUAUGGUAGGUUUCAUUUGUAAGAGACAUGGAAGGUAAAAUUGGAAUGAAAACUAGUAUCUUAUUCCAUAAAUGAAUCUCUUCCAGUCACAAGCGAUCAUUAGGUCGCAUCAAUGUCACUCGCUAGCUUCCCAAUUGGUCACUAACAUCCGAGUUGAUUAGCCAAUAAAAUCCAAAGAAGUCCAAAGCACAAGGGGGGUUAAGUGGGUAUUUCUAAACAAUGAGGGGGUUGCGUGUCCAUUUCCCUAACCACAUGGGUUUACUAUAUUUUAUCCAAAAGAAACAAAUGCAAUAUGUGAGUAACUACUUUUACCAUGUUUCCUUUGCAAAUCUAACAAAUGUAUGCACAUUCAUACACGUGUAUAUAUGGGAUGAGAUAAAAGUUGGUUCGGAUCAUCCGAACUGAAGACAUGUUCAGAUCCCAUGCCAAACGCAACACCUGUCUCCCUAUUGCAUUCAAAGACUAUUUUAACUAAAAACUUAUUUGCAUGUGUGGACAAAAACUUUGUCUACCAUCUAACGGACUUCUAAACCUCUUAAACGUUUUCCUAAGGUUCAUCCUCCAGAGAAAAGUGUUCUCUUUUCUCUCUCCCUCUCUCCCUUUUUUUGGUUUUCAUUAAAUUUAAAGGAAACAAUAUUUUGUUGUCAUUUUUUCUUUCCCAAAAAAACACAUGAAAAAAUUUAUAAAAAAUUUCUAAAUUUCACUAUAACUUGAACAGAAAUUUAAAAGGUAACACCAGAGUAUUAUUUUUACAUUGGAAACAAAAUUGUUCCUACUGCUUAUUUAAGACUAUUGCUUACUGGUUUUAUUAACUUAUUCUUAAAUUUCAUUUUAGAUGCCAAAUAUAAUUUCCUGUUUUGUAGAAAAUAAAAAAUCACCCAAUAGUUAUAGAUAAAUUGAGAAUAAUAGAAAAUUAAAGAUGUCAGUGGAGCACAUGACCGAAUUCUCUUUCCAAAAUAAUAGGUGUUUAACAAUUGUACACCAAAUACACAAAUUAAUCAAAAAGUCCCGUAUAGAGCUUGGGUCUCUAGCACAGCACUCCAACCUCUGGUAGUACACUUGUAAAUGUUUCAUUUGAAGCCUCAAUUAGAAGUUCCUAAUCAUGAUGAAAAAAAGAUAUCACAACAAUGCUAUCAAACAAAGCACUGACUACAUUCAGAAUAAGAGAACAAAAAUAGUACCUUACAUUAACUUGAGAAUUAAGUCGAGGAAGUCUCAAGGAUAGUCAGACCAAGUGCUCUUGUCCCUAUAUAGUUAACUAACAUUGAAGACAUAAAUAAACAAAGGCACAUCAACUUCUAUGAGUAAUGUAUCAUUUUCUAUACCUGAUUUAAAGUCAAUGAAGAAUUCAAGGUGGAUAAUCCACUACUUUCAUGAUCUCUGGACAAAAAAAAAACAAAAUUAAAAGUUAUAUUGAAAGAUACAAAGUAAUAAGAACAUAUAUAGAGAAGUCAUGUUAACCGUUUUUGUUUCUUGGCAGGACAACCAAUUUAUUGCGUCCCAACUCUAGACAAUUACUACAUUUCUUUUCUUCCCAAAUGGACUUUCUUUAGGAUGUUUCUCUCUCAAAGAUUUAGGGCAGCCUCUUGAAGUAACUUGAAUUGGAUUUUUCAACUCAAACGUAAUAUGGCUACUCACUUGAAGAUCAUUACUUUCUUGAACAACAUUAGUAGCCAAAUCACAUCCUAUUUGCUCUUCAUUCUUACUAUCCAUAGCUAAGAGAUCUCCACGAACCUUUUUACAGCCCAAUUAAGAUAAUUAUACUUUUCUCUUGAACCAUAUCCCAACUCCAAAACCUCUAAAAAUUCUAUUAUCAGAUUUUUUCUCAUGUAUGUAAAGGGUUCUUCUUCUAAGUUAACCCCAGGGACAUCCCAAAUAUCAUGAGUUUUAGCUUGAAUGGUCCAUCCAUCCAAGAUAUACUGUUUAGGGAAGGAAGCAACCAUAGAUUUUGUCACAAAUAUUGCGAGAAUAUGCCUGCACAGAAUUCCACAAAAUUCAAACAUAUGACAUGUGCAAGUAGCUUUAUUUUGUGAAAUAUCAAGAUUAACAACAUAGGCUGGAUUUUCCAUUCCAAUAUGCACUACAUUGUAUAUCUUUCUUGUUUCAUCAAUGCCAGACUUCGACCCCUUAUAAUUUUGGCUAAGAAAAAGUCCAUCCUGGAAUUUCAAAAACAUUUUUCUUGUGUAGAUUUUUGCUACCUCAACUUCAAUACCAUAACAAGUUUUCAUAAUGGGGUUAGAGUUCUUUGUCUUGACAUCUUUUUCCUUCUCUUUAAGAUAUCUUGAAUUCAGUGCCUUCUCAUAUUGAUAGACAAAAUCACUAACCAACAUACUAGAACGGACAAAACCCUUGAAAAAUUUAUUCAUACUUUCGCUUCUUUGUGUGGUAGACAUACCGGAGUACACCUACCCAUUGCAUAUAACCAAGUUCUAAGAAACCAUACAUAUGACUCAAAAGUUUCAUUCACAAGUAAGGCACAACCAAACAUAACUGAUUGAUAAUGGUGAUUCACUCCAGUAAAAAGGAACAAAAGGCAUGCCAUAACGAUUUGUCAAAUAUGUAGCAUCAAAAGUCACAGCAUCUCCAAAAUAUGUAUAAGCUAAUCUUGAUCUUGUGUUUGCCCAAAAGCAAUUCUGCAUACAUUUAUUUUUAUCUACUUCAAUGGCAUAAAAGAACCCUAGACUUUUAGCUUGAGUUUCUUGAAAAUACAUGUGCAUUCUCUGUGCAUCCCCUUCUUUAAGUAAUUUUUGCCUUUCAUUGCCUAAGUAGGAUUGAAUAUCAGAUGAAGUGCAACCAACAUUACUUUCACCACCACAUUUGCUCACCCAAGAAUGGCAUUAUUUUUCUUGUGGGCACACCAACUUCAUUAAGUAUAAUGACAAGACUUUUUUGAGUAGGUGUUAUAGUUCAAUGCCCACAGAGAAGCCACGUACUUCUCGGUGUUGUUAAAUCGUGGUUAUGUUGAUCGAAAAAUCUGCUCACUACCCACUUUUCUUCUUCAUUUAAUUUUAAACUCAUUAUAGCCUUGUAUCCUACUCUAGUUAUUGCAUGAACUACACCAGUUUGAUCGUCAUCCUUUUUUGUAGUUUUUCUUUUCCCUUCUCUUGAACAAACAUAAUCAACUCCAAUCAGUGUUUUAUCUUUACGGGAAUGUCGAGUGUGAUUCUUCCGUAUACUAAAACCUUUCCAAGCUGAAUAUGUCUUGUAACAUGCUUGAGCUUCAUCUAAAUUAUCAAACGUCAUGCCUUCACAAGGCUCACGAGGAAUGUUGCGCAAAUUUGGACCAUUAGAACACAAAAUUGAACCAUCAUUGCAAUCGGAAUCUUGAAUUCGACCUUCAAUUGAACCAUUAGAACACAAAUUCAAAUCAUCAUUGCAACCAAAAUUAAUCUCCAAUUCCAUCCUGUGACACAAAAAAAGUAUUUUAAAAAUUAACCAAAUUUGAAGACAAUGAAAACCGUUCCUAUAUUACUGGAGAAAUGGUUAAUCAGGAUUAAAAACAUUCCUAUUUUGCAUACUAUAUUUUACAACUUUUACUUACAAACACAUACAAAUAACAUAAGGGUUGCUUACAGUAUAAUACAAAAGUUUCAAAACCAACAAGAAAUAAACUUGUUUGCAUGAACACAUAAUGAUCAUACACCAAAAUCGAAACAUUUUGGUUCAUAAAAAAAUAUAUUUUGAACUUUUUUUUUUAUGGUUUUACGAAAGUAAAAACCCCCUACCCAUGGGUUUUACACAUAAAUUCCAAGAAUCUACAUGUUUCUGUUAAACUUUUGAGAUUUCUAUUGAGAUCUAAGUAAAAGAGUACAACAAUUCUUUUACCUAUUUGUCAUUGUUAAUCCUGUACUUUGGUUGUCGCUCAUCUUCUAUGCCCGACUUCAUAGUGAUAUUGGAACUGAUAUAAAAAAGUGUGGGUAUAAGAGAAGGUGAGAAAUAGUAAUAGUGAACGAAGUUUUGCUCCGUAUAAGAAAUGGUGAGAAAUAUAAAUAGUAACGAAAUUUUGCUCCAUCAAAAUAUUGGACCUGAUGUAAGAAAACCUUGGCCAAUUAAAGAGAUACGUGUCAGGUUUUAAUGGAAUUCGAACAAUUGCAAAGUUCGGAUGGAAUAAAUGCAAUUUGGGUAAAAAGGUUUGUUUGACAAGUCAAAUUCUAAACUUAUCAUGUUUCGACCUCCCAAUUAACACAAAAAAUUUCAUGAUUUAGCAAGGAAAACUCUAGUUUGAAUCCUGUUGCUAGUUUAGACUAAAUAACUGAAAGAGUUUGAAUCAUCCUUCACUCAGUAAAAACUUAUUGAAGUUUAGUUAACAAAUAAAUCAUGCCAAAUGUGAAUAUCAUUUCAAACCUAACUCUCUUGACUCCAAUAGCAUAAAACUUGAUAUUUUUUUUAUAAAAUAUCCGUAAUAUAAAUAAAUAGUCCAAAACUGAACACAAUUUUAACCUCCAUAAUAUAAACAAAAGAAUUUGAAAACUCGCACCAUUGUCUCGGACUUCUUGUAACAAUAACCUUUAUCUCCUACUAAAAAAGGAAUUUAGUAUAAAUAGUUUGACCAGGACAAAAAAUUUCCAAAAAUUGGUUGUGAUCUCGUACUACUAUUAAAAUUUUUAGCAUAGAUUGUUUGACCAGGACAAAAAUUUCCAACUAUUGGUUGUAUGCUUGUACUAUUUAUUAAAAGCACCAAACAAAAAAAGAAAGGGUUAAUUACAUUUACCUCCCCUGAAGUUUGACCAUAUUAUCAAUCAAUCCCUAUAAUUUGUCCAAAUAACGGUCUCACCCUUUGAAUGAUCAAACAUUUAACAAAAACCCCCUUAAUGCCAAAAAUGCCCUUAUUGAGGCCAUGUUGCAUUAAAAAAAGAACAUAUUUUUAUUUUAUUAACCUUGAAGCAAUCCAAAAAAAAUAGAAAAAAGUUUUUACUUAUUAUUUUAUAAAAACCAUAUAUUUGCUUCCAUAAAAUCAAUAAUUAUUUUAAAUCUUAAAAAUGAAUAUUAAAAAUUAGAUAAAUUGAAAGAAAAAUAAAAAAGAAGCAAUUAUUUUCAAUCCUCAAGUUUGGUUCGAAUUUGUGAUUCAAGGCAUGCUGCGGAGAGCACAAAGCAUGUUUUCCUCAAUUAGAACCAUACUUCAGGAAUUAAAAUAAUUUCUUCUUUUUUUUAUUUUUCUUUCAAUUUAUCUAAUUUUUAAUAUUCAUUUUUAAGAUUUAAAAUAAUUAUUGAUUCAAAACUAUUUAUGGAAGUAAAGAUAUGAUUUUUAUAAAAUAAUAAGCAAAAUUUUUUUCUAUUUUUUUGGAUUGCUUCAAGAUUAAUAAAAUAAAAAUAUGUUCUUUUUUUAAUGCAACAUGGCCUCAAUAAGGGCAUUUUCAGCAGUAAGUGGGUUUUUGUUAAAUGUUUGAUCAUUCAAAGGGUGAGACCGUUAUUUAGACAAAUUAUAGGGAUUGAUUGGUAAUAUGGUCAAACCUCAGGGGAGGUAAAUGUAAUUAACCCAAAAAGAAAAACGCAACAGAGCCCGUAGAGUUGAUGAAAUACGUAGCUCUUAAAAGUAGAAAUGCCAAUUUGGCGCCGAUGUUGUUGACUCGUUGGCCUUUUGCUACCUCUUCACUUUGGACUACGACUUGAUCAACAUCGCCAUCAGUCGGCGUUGGACCGUCGUCGUCAUCCUUAAGCUCCUCCUUUCCUCUUCCCCAAAAAUAUCUCCAUUCGUCUCAGUUUUACACAGUGAGUAUACUCGCACCUUUGAUAUUCUCUUCUCUGCAAUUUCAGUAUUUUUUAAUUUUUUGGUCUUAAUUGUGGCAUAAUCUUGUGGAUGAAUUUUAAUAUUCUAAGCUUAAGAGCUUCAUAUCUCCGAUUUUCUUUAUUUGUCAUAAUUUUAGCUUCACGUCUCAAGAACUCUCUUCAUUUCCAGAAUAUUCUGUUUCUUUAUGCUUUUCAUAGAAUUGUAUUUAUUUGUGAUGCUAUGAUUCUCGCAUGGAUUUCAAUUGUGGAAGCUUAAGAGCAUCUUCUAUUCUCUGCAAUUUCAGCACUUAUUGUUAUUAUUAUUUAUUUUUUUGGUCUUAAUUUUGGCAUGACCUCGUGGAUGAAUUUUAAUUUUCUAAGCUUAAGAACUUCAUGUUUCCGAAUUUUCUUUAUUUGCUGUAAUUUAGGCUUCUUGUCUGAAGAACUCUUUUCAUUUCCAGAAUUUUCUGUUUCUCUAUGCUUUUCUUAGAAUUGUUAUAUUUGUUAUGUUUUGAUUUUUGCGUGGAUUUCAAUUGUGGAACCUUAAGAGCUCUUUCUUUAAUUCCAUAAUGAUCAUUUCGUGUAUUUGCAAUCAUUAUGACUUAGAUUGUCUAAAUCACUCACUUUCCAGAUAAUUUUUUUGAACCCCCUGA